AUUGAACGCUGGCGGCAUGCCUUACACAUGCAAGUCGAACGGCAGCACGGGAGCAAUCCUGGUGGCGAGUGGCGAACGGGUGAGUAAUAUAUCGGAACGUGCCCAGUCGUGGGGGAUAACGUAGCGAAAGCUACGCUAAUACCGCAUACGAUCUAUGGAUGAAAGCGGGGGAUCGCAAGACCUCGCGCGAUUGGAGCGGCCGAUAUCAGAUUAGGUAGUUGGUGAGGUAAAGGCUCACCAAGCCGACGAUCUGUAGCUGGUCUGAGAGGACGACCAGCCACACUGGGACUGAGACACGGCCCAGACUCCUACGGGAGGCAGCAGUGGGGGAAUUUUUGGACAAUGGGCGCAAGCCUGAUCCAGCAAUGCCGCGUGCAGGAUGAAGGCCUUCGGUUGGUAACGUAGCUUUUGUUACGGUAACGAAA
This 425-nucleotide ribosomal RNA is filed under the name uncultured bacterium. RNAcentral describes it as "bacterial SSU rRNA". It matches the Rfam family "Bacterial small subunit ribosomal RNA", at positions 30 to 452 of the family's 1533-position model. The record is from RNAcentral.